CUGAGAGAAGGCCGGCUCCUGUGCUCUGCACUCUGGCCCAGGGCUGCUGUUCCGCUGGCUGACGCCCUGUCCCCACCCCAGCAUGUCCUGCUUCCAGGCUGCUUGACCCGGCUGGGCUGGGUGCCUCUUCCCCACCCCCGCCCCAGUCUCCCGGGCCCCAUCCCAGCCUGGCCCGUCAUAACUGCCGAUCCCCAGAACUGUCCCUGGUGUGCAGCAGGCAUGCAGGGUGGGCCUGCAGAGCGAGGUCCCAGCACCGGCGGCAUCUGGCGCUGAACACAGGAAGAUGGGACGUUUGCUGAAUGAAUGCACGUCCCUGAUGAGGCCUGGACUUCGACGGAUGAAGGGGCUGGUGGGGUGGAGUCAGGGUUCCCCGAAAGCCCUGGGUGGAGAGGGUCCCCAAAGUGGGGUCAGACAGCCUGUGAGGCUCACAGUCCUGCCCUGCAGCCCUUUGGUUUGGACCAGGUGCCACCUCCCCAUCUCCCUGGCCCCAGCCCUCAGCUAACCAGCCCAUGCCACCGCCUGGAAAUGGGCCAGAGGGCAGUGGCGACCUGCCCAAGUCCACACGCAGGCCACAGGCCACACUCUGAACCCCGGGGCAGGCUCAGACGGGCUUUGCUCAGCCUGCCUUAGGGCAUAGAGGGAGACUGAGUCAGGGCCCUCCCAGGAAGGAUGGGUGUGCGGCCUUCCACGCUCGGGACUUUGGGCCACGAUGUCCACCCCAGGGUCUUCGCAGAGCAGCGGGAAAGGACCCUGCUGGCAGGCACAGUGCCCGUCUCUGCCCCCGGCUCUGCUCCAACCGCCCCCAGCCCAAGGGCGGCACGCCGCAGGGGGUCUGUGAUCCCCCCACGUCCCCGGCUCCUUUCACCCACACACCACACUGGGAGGCGGCAGCCCGAGGGCAGGUUUAUUGACAACCUCACGGGACACAAGCAGGCUGGGGACAGGACGGCGACAGGCUCCGGCGGCGGCGGCGGCGGCGCUACCUGCGGUACCAGAUCUGCAGCCUCCGCUCCCGCUUGAUCUUCCUCUGCAGCUGCAGGAUGCCGUAGAGCAGGGCCUCGGCCGUAGGUGGGCAGCCUGCAGGGACCUUGCCUCAGUCUCGCUUCCCGCAGCCGGAGCCCGCGUGACCGCGUGCACAGCGCAGCCGGCUCGGCUUUGGAAGGGUUUCCCGGGCCGGCCUCUGAAGGUGGAGGCUGACAGCCCUGGGUGGGCGCAGUGCCAGGGACUGGGAGCCGGCGCAGGGGAGGUCCCUGCAGGAAGAGUGGGGUCCUCCCCUGGGCAAGGCCCCACUGCCCUCCACCCGUGGCUCAUCCCGGGCUGUCACAGGGACCUCUCGGACAAGACGCUGACCUCACUAACCCGGCCCCCGGCCCCAGCCCUCAGGACUCAAUGGGGGCCAGCGCUCAGCAGACACACUUAGCAGUGGGGAGCAGGGCCCGGGGCUGCCCUGGACGGAGAUGGAGGCAGGGAGGCUGGGCGGAGGGAGGGGAGGUGGCCCAGAGCCCGGGCAUCCCACGAGGACCCGAUGACCCUCUUUCUGAGCCCCAAGCCAGAGCUCUUUGCUGGGGAUCCCCCAGUCCCGGCUGCCACGCAGGUUCAGAACAAAGGGCUUGAGCAAGAGGACGAAGCCCAGGGCCCAACGGGGACAGCAGGAGUGGAAACAGGGGAAGACGCCAGGGGCAUGGGCAGAGCUCCUGACCCCAGGAUGGACCUCUCUGUGCUGUCAAGUCACAGGGAGGCCCAGGCUGCCCUCUCCACUGCCCCCGGGGUGACCUGAACCGUGCAGAACGCUGAACAAAUCAACGCCCUUUCCAGGGAAGCGGAAUCCAAAGUCAGAGCCUGUUCCUCCACUUUUGAGAGGCACCAGGAUGUGCCUCUCGCUUGCCCAAACCCCCAGACUCGGGACUCAGGGCUGGGCUCUCUGCGCAUGAGCUAAUGCCGCACGCAGCACAGGGUGGCCAAGAACAGGACUCUGUCCCCUGUCCCACAUGAGCGCCACCUCCAAGCCUGCCUACCGUGGACCACUGUCAAGGUGAACGCCCGGGGGGAUGGCCCUCGUGGGACCACGUGAGGUGCAAGAGUCCCACGGGAUCACCAGAUAUAAAGAAUGUUCCCGGUGCGAUGUGAAUUUCAGGUAGGACCAUAUGAAACUGCUGUAAACCAGGCGUGUGUCAGGAAUUCCACUCAGCUUCCCCUGCUCCCUCUGAUCCCUCUGAUGCCUGAAUACAUCGCCGACUUCUCACAGGGGACAGGCUCCACUAAGAGGCAGCGCUCCGAGUCGGCCCAUCCAUAGGAUGGGGGAGCCCGCCGUCUGCUGGGGGUGUGGGACUCCCUCACAGGGGCCGCCGGGCUCCGUGUGGCGCUGGCCCUGUCUCCAGCUCCCUCGUGGGCGGUGCGGUCCCGGCCCUACCUGGGAUGUAGAUGUCCACGGGCACGAUGCGGUCGCAGCCCCUCACCACCGAGUAGGAAUAGUGGUAGUAGCCUCCUCCGUUGGCGCAGCUGUUGGGGAGGCACCGUGAGGGGAGUGUGCCGAAGACCCGCCUGCCCACCCUCCCUCCACGAGGCCUCGCCCCAUCCCCACCCGCCUUCAACUGCAGGCCAGGCACCUACGAGGCUGGAACUUGUCACGGAGAAGCAAUGAGCAAACACGCACAGGCUCCCAGAGCCUCUGUGGGACCAGUGGGGCGCAAGCUCACACGUGGCUGAUAACUCGGGGAAAAGUGCUCCCCUCCCGAGGGGGCUCCUGACCACCGAUUCCCGGGGCUGGGAUGUGUCAGAUCACAUGUGUCAACAAAAAGCCACUUCAGACAGCCACAGUGCCAACACCCAGCCCCUGUCUAUGGGGCGGCUGAGCCUCACCCUCGCCUGAUUCCGGCUCUGUCAGUGAGGCGCUGGGGUCCACCCGGGGCAGGGAGCUGGAAACCCCAGGAGACCACACAGACUCCACUCCCAGCACUGCUUCCCACAGCCGUAAAAAUGGACAUACCCUGAAUGCCCAGCAGUGGGAGACGGUUAUGAAAACUCUGGAAUAUUCUAAUUAACUGUUUAGAAUUAGAUUAGUAAUAUGUCCACACAGUGGGAUAUUAUUCAGCCAAGAAAAGGCACGAGGCUCGGACACAGGCCACAGCACGGAUGCACCUUGAGGACGUCGCGCUCAGUGAGAGACGCCGGACACAGAAGGCCAUGCGGCGUGUGAUCCUGUUUCUGUGAAAUGUCCAGGACGGGCCCAUCCACAGAGACAGGGAGGGGAGGUGUGGGCACCGGGGCUCGGAAGGGGAUGCAGAGUGACUGCUGAUGGGGACAGCAUUUCAUUUGGGGGUGAUGAGAAUGUUCUGGAAUUAGAGGUGGUGGCCUAAAAACCACUGAACUGCUCGCUUUAAAAGGGUAAACUUAUCAAGACCUGAUCUCUACAGAAAUUUUAAAAAGUAGGCACAGUGGAGUACAUCUGUAAUCCCAGCACUCUGAGAGGCUAAGGUUGGGGGACCGCUUGAGCCCAGGAGGUCAAGGCUGCAGUGAGCUAUGACUGCACCACUGCACUCCAGCCUGGGCAACUCAGUGAGACUCUGUCUCU
Molecule: long non-coding RNA, 3571 nt
Filed under: Homo sapiens (human)
Lineage: Eukaryota; Metazoa; Chordata; Mammalia; Primates; Hominidae
Description: NDUFS7 antisense RNA 1 (NDUFS7-AS1)
Source: RNAcentral